UUAUACCAUAGUUUGGAUCAUCAA
This 24-nucleotide non-coding RNA is filed under the name Arabidopsis thaliana (thale cress). The record is from RNAcentral. Lineage: Eukaryota; Viridiplantae; Streptophyta; Magnoliopsida; Brassicales; Brassicaceae.